AUUGAACGCUGGCGGCAGGCCUAACACAUGCAAGUCGAACGGUAACAGGAAGCAGCUUGCUGCUUCGCUGACGAGUGGCGGACGGGUGUGUAAUGUCUGGGGAACUGCCUGAUGGAGGGGGAUAACUACUGGAAACGGUAGCUAAUACCGCAUAACGUCGCAAGACCAAAAAGGGGGACCUUAUGGCCUCUUGCCAGCUGAUGUGCCCAGAUGGGAUUAGCUAGUAGGUGGGGUAACGGCUCACCUAGGCGACGAUCCCUAGCUGGUCUGAGAGGAUGACCAGCCACACUGGAACUGAGACACGGUCCAGACUCCUACGGGAGGCAGCAGUGGGGAAUAUUGGGCAAUGGGCGCAAGCCUGAUGCAGCCAUGCCGCGUGUAUGAAGAAGGCCUUCGGGUUGUAAAGUACUUUCAGCGGGGAGGAAGGGAGUCAAGUUAAUACCUUGGCUCAUUGACGUUACCCGAAGAAGAAGCACCGGCUAACUCCGUG
RNAcentral lists this ribosomal RNA (490 nucleotides) under uncultured bacterium. RNAcentral's name for it is "partial 16S ribosomal RNA". It matches the Rfam family "Bacterial small subunit ribosomal RNA", at positions 30 to 507 of the family's 1533-position model. The record is from RNAcentral.